Long non-coding RNA from Strigops habroptila (Kakapo), 538 nucleotides. RefSeq lists it as uncharacterized. Lineage: Eukaryota; Metazoa; Chordata; Aves; Psittaciformes; Psittacidae. The transcript has 3 exons. The record is from RefSeq and is a predicted model, not a curated record.
UGUUGCCCUCAGCCGCAUGUUGGAGUUACCUCAAGGGGGUCACUUCAGUUGGAUUUAUCUCCCACCUCUGGCUGAGCUCUGCCAGCCUCACCUUGCAGUCCUUGCCAAAGCCACCGCCCGGGCUCUGAACUUGCUGAUCUUUGCAAGGGAGUCUGAGCAGCAGCAGUAACAUUGCGCAAGUUCAGAGUGUUAUCUGAAGUUACCGCAAAGGUGAUGAUUCCCCAGUCUGUGCCCAGGCAAAGGAAAGCUGGAUGCAGAUGGCAGAGGAGAGCUGCCCUCUGAAUUAUUCAGAGCUCUUCAGCACCCACCAGAGACCUCGGGGAACCAAAGUACAAGCCUCUACUCCAGGAACCAUUGCCAAGGAGAUCAUUAUUCAUUAACUCUGGGAAAUACCAGAGACACCCAAAGCAUUCAAUUUUUACAUCUGUGGAGGAAGAUGUGGGCACCAGGACAGAGCUCCCACUGGAACAGUGUUUCUGUGGUUCUGAAACAGUACCCGUGUUUCUCGGAUGUGGGUUUCCUGUCCAUCUUGUCCUGU